This 840-nucleotide long non-coding RNA is filed under the name Ananas comosus (pineapple). RNAcentral's name for it is "long non-coding RNA (ACOM_LNC003218)". Lineage: Eukaryota; Viridiplantae; Streptophyta; Magnoliopsida; Poales; Bromeliaceae. The record is from RNAcentral.
AUGUCCAGCUGGUGAACCGGCUCUGAUACCAAAAUGUAACGACCUAGCCCACUAGCAACAAUAACUCGUUGGGCCCAACCACCGGCCCAAAAUGCUUAAGCCCAGUUAUUAUUUCUAGCGUGUAGGCCUCAUAUAAACUGAUCGAAAUCAGUAUCCCAUCCGAUGUGGGACUAUUGAGGUGUCACAGGUUCGGGCCGGGCUUGAACAUGCCUAAAAAAGCUCAAUUUUUUUCGGGCCUAAAUUUUUAAGCCCGGCCCGAAUCCAAAGUUAUUUUUUUAAUACCCAAAGCCCGGCCGAAAUAUGGCCCAUCGAGUCGGACAUUGUUUAGGCUCGGGCCCAGUUCCACUCCUAACUGUAGAGAUAUUUUGAAAUAACGGAGGAACAUAUAAGAGGUAUAUUAGAAAAAAAAAAUAGGGAUAAAUAAAAUAUUUUUGAAAUUUUGAGGGGUAUAUAGGUAAUUAUCUCUAAAUUAAAAUAUAAUCUAUUUAAUAGUUUAAAAUUUAAAAAUUAUAAAUUAAAAUUUAAGAACUAAGUACAAACUGCGCUGGGAGAAUUUUGGCCAAUUAGAUUAGAGCAGUACGAUCCAUAACUUAGUCGUCUGGCUGAUCUCAGCAGUGCUGAGGCUCGAGUGCCACACACUCGAGAAGUUCUACACUGUCACGCUUGCACCAUGUCGUCAAUAAAAAAUCAAUCAUAUUUUUUUUUCAAAUAAAAGUAUAAUAAAAAUAUUUUUUUACAAUCAUGAUGAGACAUAUAUUUUUAAAAAAAUUUAUUUAAUUGGUUUGCAACGCCAUGUCACUAACAUACGCGGUGUAUUCUAUUAUUUUUCCACACACACCC